RNAcentral lists this long non-coding RNA (577 nucleotides) under Mustela putorius furo (domestic ferret). RNAcentral's name for it is "lncRNA (ENSMPUG00000030014.1)". The record is from RNAcentral. Lineage: Eukaryota; Metazoa; Chordata; Mammalia; Carnivora; Mustelidae.
UUUCAAAAUAAAUUAAUAUUUAUUUCCAAAUCACAAUGUUUUCAAAAUAAUAUCACGGAUACACAUUUUUCUGCUUAUUUUUGACUAAUUUUAAAAUAGAAACUUUGUAUUUCAGCCAAUUCUUUUCUACCGAAAUUGUCUCUUUGGGAAGUACACAAUUCUUCAUGAGUCACAAAAAGUUAAAUUCGUCAUAUAUCCAAGUAUCAAAAUUAUGAGGUAAAUUGAAUUUUAGUAUUUUAAGGUUGGUAUGAUGUGGCAUUUUCUGUAUGUGAUUUUAAAGUAUGUGCAGAUUUAUAGUAUAUAAAGUAAACAUUUAUAAAUUCAACUAUUUUUGCCAAACAGUAAAAUACUUUGGUUUAAAUAUUUCUAUUGAUUCACAUCCGUGAGGAAAAUGAAAACCAUACAUAUAUUUCAGCAGAAGGUAUUUAAUAUAUGGGGUACCUGGGUGGCUCAGUGGGUUAAAUCUUCUGCCUUCGGCUCAGGUCAUAGUCAGGGUCCCUGGAUGACCCCCGCUUUGGGCUCUCUGCUCAGCAGGGAACCUGAUGCAGGGCUCGAUCCCUGGAUACUGGGACCAUGA